RNAcentral lists this ribosomal RNA (480 nucleotides) under uncultured bacterium. RNAcentral describes it as "bacterial SSU rRNA". It matches the Rfam family "Bacterial small subunit ribosomal RNA", at positions 30 to 506 of the family's 1533-position model. The record is from RNAcentral.
UUGAACGCUGGCGGAAUGCUUUACACAUGCAAGUCGAGCGGCAGCGCGGGGCAACCUGGCGGCGAGCGGCGAACGGGUGAGUAAUAUAUCGGAACGUACCCUGUCGUGGGGGAUAACACAUCGAAAGAUGUGCUAAUACCGCAUACGACCUGAGGGUGAAAGCGGGGGAUCGCAAGACCUCGCGCGAUAGGAGCGGCCGAUAUCGGAUUAGCUAGUUGGUGAGGUAAAGGCUCACCAAGGCGACGAUCCGUAGCUGGUCUGAGAGGACGACCAGCCACACUGGAACUGAGACACGGUCCAGACUCCUACGGGAGGCAGCAGUGGGGAAUUUUGGACAAUGGGGGAAACCCUGAUCCAGCCAUUCCGCGUGAGUGAAGAAGGCCUUCGGGUUGUAAAGCUCUUUCAGCAGGAACGAAACGGUCGGCUUUAAUAAAGUCGGCUAAUGACGGUACCUGCAGAAGAAGCACCGGCUAACUACGU